UACGUAGGGUGCAAGCGUUAAUCGGAAUUACUGGGCGUAAAGCGUGCGCAGGCGGCUUUGCAAGACAGAUGUGAAAUCCCCGGGCUUAACCUGGGAACUGCAUUUGUGACUGCAUGGCUAGAGUGCGGCAGAGGGGGAUGGAAUUCCGCGUGUAGCAGUGAAAUGCGUAGAUAUGCGGAGGAACACCAGUGGCGAAGGCGGCUCACUGGCCCGGUACUGACGCUGAGGUGCGAAAGCGUGGGGAGCAAACAGG
RNAcentral lists this ribosomal RNA (253 nucleotides) under uncultured bacterium. Its description in RNAcentral is "partial 16S ribosomal RNA". It matches the Rfam family "Bacterial small subunit ribosomal RNA", at positions 524 to 776 of the family's 1533-position model. The record is from RNAcentral.